AUAGCGUAUAUUUAAGUUGUUGCAGUUAAAAAGUCUCGUAGUUGGAUUUUGGUUAAGAGGGCGCGGUCGGCCGUUCGGUCUGUACUGCGUUGUCUUGACUUCCUGAUGAGGACAUGCUCUUGGUUAACGCUGAGACAUGGAGUCAUCGUGGUUACUUUGAAAAAAUUAGAGUGUUCAAAGCGGGCUUACGCUUGAAUAUAUUAGCAUGGAAUAACACUAUAGGACUCCUGUCCUAUCUCGUUGGUCUCGGGAUGGGAGUAAUGAUUAAGAGGAACAGUUGGGGGCAUUCGUAUUUCAUUGUCAGAGGUGAAAUUCUUGGAUUUAUGAAAGACGAACUUCUGCGAAAGCAUUUGCCAAGGAUGUUUUCAUUAAUCAAGAACGAAAGUUGGGGGCUCGAAGAUGAUUAGAUACCAUCCUAGUCUCAACCAUAAACGAUGCCGACUAGGGAUUGGUGGAUGUUAAUUGAUGACUUCACCAGCACCUUAUGAGAAAUCAAAGUUU
This 501-nucleotide ribosomal RNA is filed under the name uncultured marine picoplankton. Its description in RNAcentral is "SSU rRNA". It matches the Rfam family "Eukaryotic small subunit ribosomal RNA", at positions 594 to 1106 of the family's 1831-position model. The record is from RNAcentral.